GAUGAACGCUGGCGGCGUGCUUAACAAAUGCAAGUCGAACGGAAAGGCUCCUGCUUGCAGGGGUACUCGAGUGGCGAACGGGUGAGUAACACGUGGGUGAUCUGCCCUGCACUUCGGGAUAAGCCUGGGAAACUGGGUCUAAUACCGGAUAGGACCACAUUUUGGAUGGUGUGGUGGAAAGUUUUUCGGCGUGGGAUGAGCUCGCGGCCUAUCAGCUUGUUGGUGGGGUAAUGGCCUACCAAGGCGUCGACGGGUAGCCGGCCUGAGAGGGUGUACGGCCACAUUGGGACUGAGAUACGGCCCAGACUCCUACGGGAGGCAGCAGUGGGGAAUAUUGCACAAUGGGCGCAAGCCUGAUGCAGCGACGCCGCGUGGGGGAUGACGGCCUUCGGGUUGUAAACUCCUUUCGCUAGGGACGAAGCGCAAGUGACGGUACCUGGAGAAGAAGCACCAGCUAACUACGUG
RNAcentral lists this ribosomal RNA (465 nucleotides) under uncultured bacterium. Its description in RNAcentral is "partial 16S ribosomal RNA". It matches the Rfam family "Bacterial small subunit ribosomal RNA", at positions 28 to 507 of the family's 1533-position model. The record is from RNAcentral.